GUUCAGAUGGUAGCUUAUUCCAUUCUCUGAUAGUUCUUGAGAAAUAUGAAUAUUUAAAAACGUCUUUAGUUGCCUUAGGAAUUUGGUAUUUCAAUGGGAGGCUGCCGCGUGUUCUAGAUUCUGGGUGUAAUUUCAAAUACUGCUCGGUGUUAAAAUCUACAAGGUUAUGACUUAUCUUGUACAUCAUUGUUAAUCUUGAUUCCACCCUCCUCUCUUCUAAUGUCUUCCAUCCAAGCGUGUCCAACAUACCUGUAACGCUGGCAAGUGGAGCAUAGUUCUGCAAGCAGAAUUUCGCGCCUUUUCUUUGGACUUUUUCUAGUGUCUUAAUGUCUUUCUUGUAGUGUGGGUCCCAUGCCUCACAAGCAUAUUCCAGUUUUGACCUUACCAUUAUUACAAGCAUAUUCCCGUUUUGACCUUACGUUUUGUAAACAGUUUCCCUAACGUGUUUUGGACAAUUCCAAAAAUUUCUUCGUGCCAUUCCAAGUAAUUUACUGGCUUUACUUGCUGGGUUUGAGACAUGCUCCGAGAACUUCAUUUUGUUAUUUAGGGUGAUACUCAGG
Paramuricea clavata is the source of this 560-nucleotide non-coding RNA. The record is from the annotation of a GenBank genome assembly. NCBI's taxonomy places the organism in Eukaryota, Metazoa, Cnidaria, Anthozoa, Malacalcyonacea, Plexauridae.